CCUGAAUAUGAACUUAUGACCUCAAAGUUGUUAGUUAACUCCAUAACCAACCAGGUCACGUUUUACCGACAAAAUUAGAAGAAACUUUUUCUCUUGUUUGUUUAUGAAUAUUGAGUCCUACCAUAUGAUAAAAAAAUUCACAAAAAAACAUGAUAAAAAAAUUCACAUGUACGUGUAACGAGAAAGCAUAAUAUUCGUAGAGCAUAGAUUUUAGAGUUUGCAUGGACUAGUGGAACACUAAAAUAACAAACAAAUUUGUUUGUUGUUCAACUUUGAAACGACGUUAAAAAUUUCCAUUAGAGUGUUCUAGUUAUAGAAUGGGUGCUUGACAUAGUUUGGUGUUUUUAUUUCGCAUGCAUGUAAUGACAUGCUGAAAUGAAAUAUGGCAUACUGUGUGACCAAGCCCCGUUCACCUAGUCAGUAGGUGACCAGAGAUUAUCUGGUCAACUGUCGUCGGAUCGGCUCGAUUUUGAUCCAAGGGCAAAAAUAAUAAAGCUUAUGAUAUGUCUCAACCUUUGGAUCAAAAUCGAGCAGAUCUGACGACAGUUGACCAGAUAAUCCCUGGUCGCCUACUGACCAGGUGAACGGGGCUGCUGUGUGACCAAAUAACAUUUGGUUAUGUAACAAGGCCCCCCAAAGGCUUCUACUACUACGUACUGCUCGAUCAUAUUUUCUUCUUUUCAACUUCUCUG
Molecule: long non-coding RNA, 692 nt
Filed under: Fragaria vesca (wild strawberry)
Lineage: Eukaryota; Viridiplantae; Streptophyta; Magnoliopsida; Rosales; Rosaceae
Description: long non-coding RNA (FVES_LNC002621)
Source: RNAcentral